This 450-nucleotide ribosomal RNA is filed under the name uncultured bacterium. RNAcentral describes it as "partial 16S ribosomal RNA". It matches the Rfam family "Bacterial small subunit ribosomal RNA", at positions 354 to 796 of the family's 1533-position model. The record is from RNAcentral.
GUGGGGAAUAUUGGACAAUGGGCGAAAGCCUGAUCCAGCCAUGCCGCGUGUGUGAAGAAGGUCUUCGGAUUGUAAAGCACUUUAAGUUGGGAGGAAGGGCAGUAAGUUAAUACCUUGCUGUUUUGACGUUACCAACAGAAUAAGCACCGGCUAACUUCGUGCCAGCAGCAGCGGUAAUACGAAGGGUGCAAGCGUUAAUCGGAAUUACUGGGCGUAAAGCGCGCGUAGGUGGUUUUGUAAGUUGGAGGUGAAAUCCCCGGGCUCAACCUGGGAACUGCCUCCAAAACUGCAUGACUAGAGUACGGUAGAGGGUAGUGGAAUUUCCUGUGUAGCGGUGAAAUGCGUAGAUAUAGGAAGGAACACCAGUGGCGAAGGCGACUACCUGGACUGAUACUGACACUGAGGUGCGAAAGCGUGGGGAGCAAACAGGAUUAGAUACCCGGGUAGUCC